UUAAUUGAAAAUUUAUUGUUAACAAUAAAGUAAAAUUUUAUGAAAACCCUCUCACAUAUAGUCCACUUCGAUAUGAUCCUAACUCGGAAAAGCGUGAAAUUUAUUUUUCAGAUAGUUUAAAUGGUUUAGAUCAUGUUUAACGGUGCCGAUUGUCAAUUUGGAAGCUCUAUCAUUGAACAUAAAUUGCAGAAAACCGAGCUGUACUACCGAUAGAAUUGUAGCAAAACUCUAUAUAUAUACCCUCUCAACCUAAGUAUUCUUUUUUUAAUU
This 270-nucleotide long non-coding RNA is filed under the name Ananas comosus (pineapple). RNAcentral's name for it is "long non-coding RNA (ACOM_LNC032454)". The record is from RNAcentral. Lineage: Eukaryota; Viridiplantae; Streptophyta; Magnoliopsida; Poales; Bromeliaceae.